Molecule: non-coding RNA, 97 nt
Filed under: human gut metagenome
Description: TPP riboswitch (THI element)
Rfam family: TPP riboswitch aptamer (THI element)
About the family: Vitamin B(1) in its active form thiamin pyrophosphate (TPP) is an essential coenzyme that is synthesised by coupling of pyrimidine and thiazole moieties in bacteria. The previously detected thiamin-regulatory element, thi box was extended, resulting in a new, highly conserved RNA secondary structure, the THI element, which is widely distributed in eubacteria and also occurs in some archaea.
Source: RNAcentral
AUAAACGGGGGAGCCGGUGUGCUGGCUGAGAGUAAGUAAUCAACUUUGACCCUUUAUACCUGACUUGGAUAAUGCCAGCGUAGGGAGUUUAAUAUUC